AUAGCAUGGAUGAGGAGUAUGAACACAACAAGUUCAUCACAAAUUCACACAAAUCCUAACCCCCAAACAUAGGUUAUUUUCCCCCAAAGGCUAAAUCUAUCUAAGAACUCACCUAGUAGAAGAAUAAGAUGAAGUUGGUGAGGAUGAUGAGUAGAAAAUGGUGAUGAUUAGCUUUUCCUUUUCUCCUCCAAGCCUUUCUUCCUUCUUUCUCUCUUCUUCUUUCUUCUCUUUUCCUCUUCUCUACUCUUCCCUUUCUUCUUU
Molecule: long non-coding RNA, 261 nt
Filed under: Lathyrus oleraceus (garden pea)
Lineage: Eukaryota; Viridiplantae; Streptophyta; Magnoliopsida; Fabales; Fabaceae
Description: Pisum sativum (pea) long non-coding RNA (PSAT_LNC040292)
Source: RNAcentral